This is a non-coding RNA of Triticum aestivum (bread wheat), 115 nucleotides long. The record is from Rfam. Lineage: Eukaryota; Viridiplantae; Streptophyta; Magnoliopsida; Poales; Poaceae.
AUGUUACUCCCUCCGUUCCGAAUUAUUUGUCGCUCAAAUGGAUGUAUCUAGCACUCAAAUAGUGUUAGAUACGUCCACUUGAGCGACAAGUAAUUGAGAACGGAGGGAGUACUUG